UUUUUUGACUUGUCAAAUAUUCUUAGAUUUAUGGUUCAAAUCCCAUAAACUAUAUAAAGAAAAAUCUUUUUUUUUUCUUCUUCUUGUCUUUUCUGGUUUGUUUUGGUCCAACAUUUUGAACAUGCUACACUCUAGGCUGUGCGCAGAGUGUAGCGACUAGCGAGACAUAUCCUGUUUGGCUGUAGAAUUGUUACAUAGCAAAACUAAACUGGUUGAUUGACUGGGGUGUUACCAUAGGCAACAACAAUUCUGUUGUGCCGCAGUUGAAAGUUGCUCCGGAAAAUGGGAAAUAGCAGGAGGGGGAUACAAAAGAAUUACUAUACUGUUCUUGUCAUACAUAAUGUUUCAUUUUUUAGUUGAUGACAUGAUAGAGAGUCGUUUAAUACUUUGCUGAAUUGCAAGGGAUGGCCUGGUGGACAAAGUGUUCCCUCUCCAAGUGUGAUUGCUAGGUUUGAGUAUUAUUGCUAUGCAAUGCAACUUUUCCUUUCCCUAUUAACCUCUGCUAUGGAUUGUAAGAAACAAAAAACAUCAAAUACAGUACUUUGCAGGAGCAGAUAGUGAUAGUUGAUAGUUGUGGUUUAUCAAAAUCUGUGGAUGGAAUGGAGAUGCAUCAGCUAUUCGAUAAGGAAAUGUGUUGUAAUUCUUUUCUCAGAUUGCUUGUUAAGAAUGUCUAUAGCUUGAUGAUCAAGUCUAUUAGAAUUAGUGGAAGAUUGACCUUGGCUCAACAACACUUCAAUCAUCUGUUGUGUGUCCUGCAGCCCUUGGAUGAGUUGCUUGGGCUUUAGUGUCCAUGUUUUCUGCUAGUGCUGCAACUGUGUUUUCUACUGGUGCUUUGGCUGUGGUUGCAGCUGUGUUGUGUUUUCAUGAAAUUUUCAAUGACAUUUUAUUCAUGUUAUUUGUUCUUAUCCAAUGCAGGUUCAAAUAUCAAAGAAAGGAAAGAAGAAGAAGUAGAGAGGACAAACUCAAUGAAAAAAGGCCUCUUUUUGGUUUGCCACUGUUCUGUCAAAGGUGGGAUACUCAUGAUCAUGUCAUUGGCAAGAUGAAACCAAAUUAUUGAUGAUGGGAUUGAUGGAGUUGGAUGAUGGUUUUGAUGAAGAUGUAUUUUGAUGAUACUUUAUGUAUGAAUGAUUGAGAGAAUUUUUUGCGUAGAGGAGUUAGUUGAGUACUUUUAUGCACUAUUUCCCCAUCUCCAUAUAAUGUUAUAUGAUGUGUUGAUUACAAGAUAUAUGUAAAAAUUGUGAUUAGCUUGAUGCAUGUUAGCAAGAGCUGAAUUAGCUUGAUGCCUCUUCUUCGGGCUUUAAGGCUUCAAGGGCAGUAAGGGAUGUUGAUAUUAAAUGUGUUGAUAAAUUUGACCCAUAUGUGUUCUUAUACAAAUUUUCAAUUAAUUGUCCAGCUAUGCUCAGAAUCAGGAAGAGAGAGAGAGAGAGAGAAGAGAGGGGGGGGGGAUGGCAUUUUUUUUAAAAAUGCCACCAAAUGAUGUCACUUGUGA
Molecule: non-coding RNA, 1489 nt
Organism: Camellia sinensis
Lineage: Eukaryota; Viridiplantae; Streptophyta; Magnoliopsida; Ericales; Theaceae
Source: RefSeq, a predicted model, not a curated record